AGUGAACGCUGGCGGUAGGCCUAACACAUGCAAGUCGAACGGCAGCACAGUAAGUGCUUGCUCUUACGGGUGGCGAGUGGCGGACGGGUGAGGAAUACAUCGGAAUCUACUUUUUCGUGGGGGAUAACGUAGGGAAACUUACGCUAAUACAGCAUACGACCUACGGGUGAAAGCAGGGGAUCUUCGGACCUUGCGCGAUUGAAUGAGGCGAUGUCGGAUUAGCUUGUUGGCGGGGUAAAGGCCUACCAAGGCGACGAUCCGUAGCUGGUCUGAGAGGAUGAUCAGCCACACUGGAACUGAGACACGGUCCAGACUCCUACGGGAGGCAGCAGUAGGGAAUAUUGGACAAUGGGCGCAAGCCUAAUCCAGCCAUACCGCGUGAGUGGAGAAGGCCUUCGGGUUGUAAAGCCCUUUUGUUUGGAAAGAAAAGCAGCACAUUAAUACCCCGCUGUUCUGACGGUACCCAAAGAAUAAGCACCGGCUAACUUCGUG
This 492-nucleotide ribosomal RNA is filed under the name uncultured bacterium. Its description in RNAcentral is "partial 16S ribosomal RNA". It matches the Rfam family "Bacterial small subunit ribosomal RNA", at positions 29 to 507 of the family's 1533-position model. The record is from RNAcentral.